Molecule: long non-coding RNA, 384 nt
Organism: Maniola jurtina (meadow brown)
Lineage: Eukaryota; Metazoa; Arthropoda; Insecta; Lepidoptera; Nymphalidae
Exons: 2
Source: RefSeq, a predicted model, not a curated record
AAAUUUAGUCAGAACAGUGACUUAGUGCAGCACAUGAGAACUCAUACGGGGGGGAAACCCUUUGUUUGUAAGCUAUGUCAUUAUAAAUGUGCGCGGAAUGGUGAUUUAGUGCGGCACAUGAGAACUCACACUGGUGAAAAACCGUUUGCUUGUAAACUAUGUAUGCCAUUAUAAAUGUGCGCGGAGUAGUGAUUUAGUGCGGCACAUGAGAACUCAUACGGGUGAAAAACCCUUUGUUUGUAAGGUAUGCCAUUAUAAAUGUGCGCAGAAUAGUCAGUUAGUGCGGCACAUGAGAACUCAUACGGGUGAAAAACCCUUUGUUUGUAAGGUAUGCCAUUAUAAAUGUGCACAGAAUAGUAAUUUAGUGCGGCACAUGAGAAAUCA